AUACGAAGGGUGCAAGCGUUACUCGGAAUUACUGGGCGUAAAGCGUGCGUAGGUGGUUGUUUAAGUCUGUCGUGAAAGCCCUAGGGCUCAACCUGGGAAUUGCGAUGGAAACUGGGCGACUAGAGUGUGGCAGAGGAUAGUGGAAUUCCUGGUGUAGCAGUGAAAUGCGUAGAGAUCAGGAGGAACAUCCGUGGCGAAGGCGACUGUCUGGGCCAACACUGACACUGAGGCACGAAAGCGUGGGGAGC
This 248-nucleotide ribosomal RNA is filed under the name uncultured bacterium. RNAcentral's name for it is "partial 16S ribosomal RNA". It matches the Rfam family "Bacterial small subunit ribosomal RNA", at positions 523 to 769 of the family's 1533-position model. The record is from RNAcentral.